Rhineura floridana is the source of this 1094-nucleotide long non-coding RNA. RefSeq lists it as uncharacterized. The transcript is spliced from 3 exons. The record is from RefSeq and is a predicted model, not a curated record. Lineage: Eukaryota; Metazoa; Chordata; Lepidosauria; Squamata; Rhineuridae.
AAGGCGACGAACUGAGCCAGCGUGUUCUUUUUCUCGCAAUUCUCGGGACUAGUAAGGUGUUUGCUGUCACUGAACAAUACGAGCCCUGUAUAUAGAGGAACCACAUGGGAACAGAAGUGAAGUUUUGUUUGAGAUCAAAAGCCCUGAAGCAGGACACAGUGGAUUUUGCUGAGUUUCUUUGGUGAGGUUAAAUAGCAGAGUCCUUAACAUGAGGAAAUGUUUGUGUGGAGCUGGGAGGGCAUUUUAGCUCCAAUAACUGUGGCCCCUUCCCCAAGGCUCAGUGGCAGAGCAUGUAGUCUGCCUGCAGAGGAUCCCAGGUUCAAGUCCCCGCAUCUUCAGGUAAGGCAGGUGGAGAAUCCUGCCUGAAAACCUGGACAGCCACUGGUAGUCAGCCUCAGCAAUACUGAGCUAGAUGGGCCAAAAGUCUGAGUCUCAGCGUAAGGCAGUUUCCUAUGUAAUUCGAUGGAUGCCCCCCAUUAUUGAUCUGCCAUAGUCUUGGCUUGCACAAGCACAAAACCAAGAAAUAUCUGCAGAUCCAAUAACUCAGCCAUGUGAUCUUAUCCACAGACUGCGCAUCCAGUCAUAAAAUGUAACGUGCAUAUAUGUAAGAUUCAGUAUUUGUGAAAUGGAUAAGAUUUUGUAGCUGUCUUUUAAGAUAGCAGUUUCUCACUGAGAUGAGGGUGACAAGAGCAUGGAAAAUGCGUAUCUGACCUGAAAGCUGUGGUGUAGUGGUUAGAGUAGGCAUGGGGGACGUGUUGGACUCCCAACUCACAUCAGAUGGUCUGGGAUGAUGGCAGUUGUAGUGCAGCAAUAUCUGGAGGGCCACAGAUAUUUCCCAUACCUAGAUAGAGUGUUGGAAUAGGAUCUGGGAGACUAAAGUUUGAACCCCUACACAGCCAUGAAGCUCACUGGGCAGGCAUCGGCCAGCCAUCAUCUCUCAGCUUAGCCUACCUCACAGGGUUGUUGUGACGAUAAAGUGAGACGAGGGAUGAGUCAUAUAUGCCAUGCCUUGAGCUCCUUGGAGGAAAGGUGUGAUGCAAAUGUGAUGUAGCAACUCCUGUUUCAGAUGAAAAAAAAAUAAAGUAAAAUUUGUU